This 68-nucleotide transfer RNA is filed under the name Rattus norvegicus (Norway rat). It matches the Rfam family "tRNA". Rfam says of the family: Transfer RNA (tRNA) molecules are approximately 80 nucleotides in length. The record is from Rfam by way of RNAcentral. Lineage: Eukaryota; Metazoa; Chordata; Mammalia; Rodentia; Muridae.
GGGGAUUUAGCUCAGUGGUAGAGCGCUUGCCUAGCAAGCACAAGGCUCUGGGUUCGGUCCCAGCUCCG